AGCAGUCGCCACGGGAAUACAGAGGGUGCGAGCGUUAAUCGGAUUUACUGGGCGUAAAGCGUGCGUAGGCGGCUAAUUGAGUCGGAUGUGAAAUCCCCGAGCUUAACUUGGGAAUUGCAUUCGAUACUGGUUAGCUAGAGUGUGGGAGAGGAUGGUAGAAUUCCAGGUGUAGCGGUGAAAUGCGUAGAGAUCUGGAGGAAUACCGAUGGCGAAGGCAGCCAUCUGGCCUAACACUGACGCUGAGGUACGAAAGCAUGGGGAGCAAACAUGAUUAGAUACCCCGGUAGUCCCUGUCUCUUAUAU
RNAcentral lists this ribosomal RNA (303 nucleotides) under uncultured bacterium. RNAcentral's name for it is "partial 16S ribosomal RNA". It matches the Rfam family "Bacterial small subunit ribosomal RNA", at positions 507 to 809 of the family's 1533-position model. The record is from RNAcentral.